Molecule: ribosomal RNA, 108 nt
Filed under: uncultured bacterium
Lineage: Bacteria
Description: partial 16S ribosomal RNA
Rfam family: Bacterial small subunit ribosomal RNA
Source: RNAcentral
UACGUUCCCGGGCCUUGUACACACCGCCCGUCAAGCCAUGGAAGUCAGGAGACCUGAAGACAGUGACCGUCAAAGGAGCUGUUUAGGGUAAAACUGGUAACGUGGGCU